RNAcentral lists this ribosomal RNA (381 nucleotides) under uncultured bacterium. Its description in RNAcentral is "bacterial SSU rRNA". It matches the Rfam family "Bacterial small subunit ribosomal RNA", at positions 28 to 419 of the family's 1533-position model. The record is from RNAcentral.
GAUUAACGCUGGCGGCGUGCCUAACACAUGCAAGUCGAACGAGGUAGCAAUACCUAGUGGCAGACGGGUGAGUAACGCGUGGUCAACCUACCGUUGAGUGGGGGAUAACUAGCCGAAAGGUUAGCUAAUACCGCAUACGUCUCCGAGGGGCAUCCCCUGGCGAUAAAGGAGCAAUCCGCUCGAUGACGGGACCGCGUCCCAUUAGCUAGAUGGUGGGGUAACGGCCUACCAUGGCACCGAUGGGUAGCUGGUUUGAGAGAGCGACCAGCCACACUGAGACUGAGAAACGGCCCAGACUCCUACGGGAGGCAGCAGUGAGGAAUUUUCCGCAAUGGGCGCAAGCCUGACCGGAGCGACGCCGCGUGUGGGAAGAAGGCCUUC